This is a long non-coding RNA of Oryza brachyantha (malo sina), 716 nucleotides long. RefSeq lists it as uncharacterized. NCBI's taxonomy places the organism in Eukaryota, Viridiplantae, Streptophyta, Magnoliopsida, Poales, Poaceae. The transcript is spliced from 2 exons. The record is from RefSeq and is a predicted model, not a curated record.
CAGAACAGAGAUCAUAUCAGAACAACAGAGAUCUCCUCUGGAAUUCAGAAAGAAUUAACACUUCCAGAGAAAAGACGAAAUUUGACACUAGUCCAAUCCGAGCAUGUCUUCAGGGUCCCGGAGCUCCUCCCGCAACGGCAGCAGCGCCAACAUGGCGUCGACGUGGAGCACCAGGGAGAACAAGCUGUUCGAGGAGGCCCUUGCCUACUACGGCGAGGGCACGCCCGACCGCUGGCACAAGGUGUCCCGUGCCAUGGGAGGCAGCAAGACCGCCGACGAGGUGCGCCGCCACUACGAGGUCCUCGAACACGACGUCGGCCUCAUCGAGUCCGGCAGGCUCCCGUUCCCCAAGUACAACACGCAGGGAGCAUGGAACUGAGGGAUGAAGCAUCUGAGGUUCCUGACGACACGAAACAACGCCAGUAUAAACUAGAUUCCUUGAAGUGGCUACGUUACUGAAGGAAACUACAUAUUGAUAUAUUGUUAUUCUGUUAAGAAGAUUGUGGUUGCUUGGUUAGAAAUAAAAGAAGAAAGUACGUGUCUGUAUAUACUUCUAGGUUGUAAAGCAAAUCAAGUGUCGAUCUUGCAGAAACUAGCCUGCAUUUGUUAUUGUGUGUAGCUGUUAAAUAUUCGAGCUGAACUAUGUGGCAAAUAAUAAUGUAAGACUUCUGUACUCGUGUGCUGGUAAUUAUAAAGGUGUGCUUGGCAGAAUCUCA